UUUCAACAUCCCUUUCUUCGCUUUUUGUGAAGCAUGAUACAUAUCGACUAAAUACUUUGGUAUACGACACGUCCUUUCAUGCCGCAUCUGUGGCAAGUGCUUUUCAACAUGCCUUUUAUUAACAUUACCAACAUCAUUCACUUGAAGGUUUUUGUUCGAUUUUUCCGUGUUGA
RNAcentral lists this small RNA (173 nucleotides) under Arabidopsis thaliana (thale cress). RNAcentral describes it as "ATSL032060". Lineage: Eukaryota; Viridiplantae; Streptophyta; Magnoliopsida; Brassicales; Brassicaceae. The record is from RNAcentral.